GACGAACGCUGGCGGCGUGCCUAAUACAUGCAAGUCGAACGCAUUUUCUUUCACCGUAGCUUGCUACACCGAAAGAAAAUGAGUGGCGAACGGGUGAGUAACACGUGGGUAACCUGCCCAUCAGCGGGGGAUAACACUUGGAAACAGGUGCUAAUACCGCAUAAUUCCAUUUACCGCAUGGUAGAUGGAUGAAAGGCGCUUUUGCGUCACUGAUGGAUGGACCCGCGGUGCAUUAGCUAGUUGGUGGGGUAACGGCCUACCAAGGCUGCGAUGCAUAGCCGACCUGAGAGGGGGAAGGGCCACACUGGAGAUGGAACACGGCCCAGACCCCUAGGGGAGGGAGCAGUGGGGAAUUUUCGGCAAUGGAGGCAAAUCUGACCGGGCAACCCCGCGGGGGGGAAAAAGGUUUUCGGAUCGUAAAACUCUUUUGUUAGAGAAAAACAAGGAUGAGGGGGGAAAGUUCAUCCCUUGAGGGUAUCAAACCAAAAAGCCACGGCAAACUACGG
Molecule: ribosomal RNA, 506 nt
Filed under: uncultured bacterium
Lineage: Bacteria
Description: partial 16S ribosomal RNA
Rfam family: Bacterial small subunit ribosomal RNA
Source: RNAcentral